CGUGCCAGCAGCCGCGGUAAUACGGAGGAUACGAGCGUUAUCCGGAAUUAUUGGGUUUAAAGGGUGCGUAGGUGGCGUAUUAAGUCAGUGGUGAAAAGCUGCAGCUCAACUGUAGUCUUGCCGUUGAAACUGAUAUGCUAGAGAGGAGACGAGGUAUGCGGAAUGUGUGGUGUAGCGGUGAAAUGCAUAGAUAUCACACAGAACGCCGAUUGCGAAGGCAGCGUACCAGGCUCCGUCUGACACUGAAGCACGAAAGCGUGGGGAUCAAACAGGAUUAGAUACCCUGGUAGUCCACGCAGUAAACGAUGAAUACUAGAUUUUUGCGAUAUACUGUAAGAGUCUAAGCGAAAGCGAUAAGUAUUCCACCUGGGGAGUACGCCGGCAACGGUGAAACUCAAAGGAAUUGACGGGGGCCCGCACAAGCGGAGGAACAUGUGGUUUAAUUCGAUGAUACGCGAGGAACCUUACCCGGGAUUGAA
This 479-nucleotide ribosomal RNA is filed under the name uncultured bacterium. RNAcentral's name for it is "bacterial SSU rRNA". It matches the Rfam family "Bacterial small subunit ribosomal RNA", at positions 504 to 985 of the family's 1533-position model. The record is from RNAcentral.